UAAACAGAAUUGGGAAAGGGAGGAGGAGCUCUCAACCCUCACAACCUUGGAUCCACCAUAACUCCUCCAUCCGAGCACCGAUCGCCGCACCGUUUGCAGCUACGCGCUCAGUGCGUCGAGCUCUACCUUUCUAUCCGAACAAUUUCACUGGUUCAAGUUAGCUUCCGAAACUUGUGGGAUCAAGCUAUUGAGUAUAUGGGUAUGAUGCAGGUCAAGAGGCUCCUCGCUAGGCAUCUGGAUUCUGGGAAGCAAAGUAGUCCCUGGGUGUAUUUUGGUUUCUGUUUGUAUAUAUGUAUAUAUGUAUUUAGCUUACUCUCCAAGUAAUUUAUGUAUGCUGCUCCUCUUAGAGAUUGACGGAGAGAUAGGAGUUUACCAUGGUAUUUUGGUGUAUUUUGGGAAUACCUAUGUAUGUUUAUAUGUAUAUAUAUAUCCUCUGGCCAGCCUUAGCUUCGCAGGUUCAGUCAGGGGCUAGCUAUGCUAUUUCCUUGCUU
This is a long non-coding RNA of Arachis stenosperma, 491 nucleotides long. RefSeq lists it as uncharacterized. The transcript has 3 exons. The record is from RefSeq and is a predicted model, not a curated record. NCBI's taxonomy places the organism in Eukaryota, Viridiplantae, Streptophyta, Magnoliopsida, Fabales, Fabaceae.